AUCCAGACUCCUACGGGAGGCAGCAGUGGGGAAUAUUGGGCAAUGGGCGCAAGCCUGACCCAGCAACGCCGCGUGAAGGAAGAAGGCUUUCGGGUUGUAAACUUCUUUUCUCAGGGAAGAAGGAGGACGGUACCUGACUAAGAAGCCCCGGCUAACUACGUGCCAGCAGCCGCGGUAAUACGUAGGGGGCAAGCGUUAUCCGGAUUUACUGGGUGUAAAGGGGGCGCAGACGGCAGCGCAAGCCAGGAGUGAAAGCCCGGGGCCCAACCCCGGGACUGCUCUUGGAACUGCGCGGCUGGAGUGCAGGAGGGGCAGGCGGAAUUCCUGGUGUAGCGGUGAAAUGCGUAGAUAUCAGGAGGAACACCGGUGGCGAAGGCGGCCUGCUGGACUGCGACUGACGUUGAGGCCCGAAAGCGUGGGGAGCAAACAGGAUUAGAUACCCCCGUACAA
This 450-nucleotide ribosomal RNA is filed under the name uncultured bacterium. RNAcentral's name for it is "partial 16S ribosomal RNA". It matches the Rfam family "Bacterial small subunit ribosomal RNA", at positions 329 to 794 of the family's 1533-position model. The record is from RNAcentral.